CUACGGGUUGCUGCGGUGAGGAAUAUUGCACAAUGGGGGAAACCCUGAUGCAGCAACGCCGCGUGGAGGAUGACGCAUUUCGGUGUGUAAACUCCUUUUAUGAGUCAAGAAAAUGACGGUAGCUCAUGAAUAAGCACCGGCUAACUCCGUGCCAGCAGCCGCGGUAAUACGGAGGGUGCAAGCGUUACUCGGAAUCACUGGGCGUAAAGGACGCGUAGGCGGGAUGUCAAGUCAGGUGUGAAAUCCUAUGGCGCAACCAUAGAACUGCACUUGAAACUGGCAACCUAGAGUAUGGGAGGGGGAGAUGGAAUUAGUGGUGUAGGGGUAAAAUCCGUAGAUAUCACUAGGAAUACCGAAAGCGAAGGCGAUCUCCUGGAACAUUACUGACGCUAAGGCGUGAAAGCGUGGGGAGCAAACAGGAUUAGAUACCCCAGUAGUC
RNAcentral lists this ribosomal RNA (439 nucleotides) under uncultured bacterium. RNAcentral's name for it is "partial 16S ribosomal RNA". It matches the Rfam family "Bacterial small subunit ribosomal RNA", at positions 339 to 795 of the family's 1533-position model. The record is from RNAcentral.